RNAcentral lists this microRNA (24 nucleotides) under Heligmosomoides polygyrus. RNAcentral's name for it is "hpo-miR-10057-3p". The record is from miRBase by way of RNAcentral. Lineage: Eukaryota; Metazoa; Nematoda; Chromadorea; Rhabditida; Heligmosomidae.
UCGUGUGCAGGUGUUUUCCAGUCA